UUUAAGCUAAGAAUCUAAAUAAAGCAAGAAAAUUGUCAUUAAAUAUUUUAGUUUUAGGUAAAAUUUAAACCUAAAUUUAUUUAUAUAGUAAAAUUUCAAAUCUUAAGAGAUAAACAAGGAUUAGAUACCCUUCUAUACUUAAGACCUUUGAGCAGGGUAGUAACUAGCUAUGUUCUUCAAACCCAAAGGAUUUGGCGGUGCUCUAUAUAAUUAGAGGAACCUGUAAAGUAAUCGAAAUUACGCGCUGUAUCUUACCAAAGUUAAGCUUGUAUACCGUCGUCUAGGUAGUUCUAAAAAGGCUUGCCUAACUGAGAUAUAUACAUGGCAGAUCAAGGUGCAGCUUGCUUUGGUUAUUAUGGGUUACAAUCUAAAUAUAGAUAGAAGAGGAAAGUAAGGUAGCCUCUGAAAUAGGAUUUAAUAGUAAUUUAAGUUUAAUACACUAAAAUAAAAUUUCCAUAGAGCAUGUACAUAUCGCCCGUCACUCUCAUCNCCU
Molecule: ribosomal RNA, 493 nt
Filed under: Ligia hawaiensis
Lineage: Eukaryota; Metazoa; Arthropoda; Malacostraca; Isopoda; Ligiidae
Description: partial small subunit ribosomal RNA
Source: RNAcentral